CCCGUGACGUCCCUGAAAACCUUUGGUGCAGUGAAAGGACCUCCAGGCGAUGGAGAUUCGGUUGCGCGGGGGAAGGGGAAGGACAGACCAAAUUAGUCCAUUUCCAUUGGGUUCGGGUCGGAUGUCUUGGGACACUUGCCCGGCCAAAAACGUAUCUUUGCCGAUGGCAGUCAGUACUGAAUCUGCUACCGAAAGAGAUCGGGUGAAUUUUCAGCGUUUAUAUAAACGGUGGCUAGCCAAGUGUAGAGGACGCGAAAACGAAACCAAACCGCCGCGUCCUGAGACCGCAACUGGUGAGGACUCGCCCUGGGGCCUCAGACAAUUCUUGCAGCGUUUUUCACGUAGUCGGGACCGUGGUUCGUGGUUCGGGUGGAAUCCCGCGGCAGCCUGCCUGGCAGAGCCUGAUUCGGUGUGAAAAAUGAAAGAAGCUGUGGGGAAAAUCAGGGACGCGGGUUGAAAUCGCGAUCGGACGGCAGCUCGAGCUUGCUGCCAUCCGAUCGAAAAUCGACUCGGUGGAUGAAUCGUGGCGCUCGCGGACAGCGGAACAGGGGCCGGGAAACCCUCAGCGCUGACUCUAUGCACCGGGAAUCGUGGCGAGGCUGAGUGCCCGCGCCACAGCGAGGCUGGCGGCCGGCGGUGUAGAGUUGUCGGGAAUUCAGCCGGCAGGCGGAGCUGCGUUUGGCGUCAGAAGCGUUUCUGCUUCCGCCCGGGUCUUCUUCAUUGGCUCCAGUGAGAGUGAGAAACUAUCAGGCAGGCGUGGACUGGAGUCUUACCCGCAGUAGGGGCGCUCGUAGGGACCUUAGCUGCGUCGUGACCGGUGAAAGGAGAGAGAUGGGCGGCCGUCAGAGAGUCCUGACCCGUGACGUCACUGAAAACCAUUGGUGCAGUGAAGGGAGCGCCGGCGCGAUGGGGAUUAGGUUGUGGGAAAAAAAUAACAAAUUCGUCCAUUUCGAUUCGGUUCGGGUCGGAUGUCUUGGGACACUUGCCCGACCAAAACGUAUCUUUGCUGAUGGCAGUCGUUACUUGAAUCUGCUACUGAAAGAAAUUGGGUGAAUUUUCAGCGUUGAUAUAAAAGCCAAGUGUAGAGAACUCGAAAACGAAACGAAAUCGCGGCGUCCUAAUCGCAUCUGGUGCACACUCAAACCCGGGCGUCAGCCGUUUCUUGCAACGUUUUGCUCACGUCCUCGGGACCGUGGUUCGGGUGGAAUCCCGCGGGAGAGCCACUUUGUAGAGCCUGAUUCCAGCCCAAAACGAAAGGACCAAAGCAGAAAAUCACGGAUGCAGUUAGAAAUUGCAGUCGGAUUGCAGCUCGGGCCUGCUGACAGCGGUUCAGACCGACUGACAAAUCCCAUACAUGCGUGGAGUGUGGAUUACCGGCGGGCAUUGCUAGUCCUGGUGUUGUGCACCGAGAAUCUCCACUUAGGCUGAGUGCUGGCGCCACAGGGAUCCCUGAGCACUCAGUUUGAUUAUUUCCUGUCUUCUACUCUUCCUGAUUUUGUGACCUUGAGGCAGCCUGAUCUACAGGAAAUCCCAGGACAGCAUGGACUGCUGCACAGAGAAGCCCUAUCUCGAAAAACCAUGAAAAAGGAAUAAAUUAUUUCUCCGAGUAGUAUUUUGUGUCUCAACUUCAAUUCCUCAUGCCCAGAAACUUCUCUGGGGCGACCCGGGCUCCAGGAUUCCCUCUGUGCCUGCGUCUCUCCGCUGCUGUGGACGCUGUCAUCCCAUGGCUGGUUCAGAGCCCACUGGGCCUCCAUACUGGAAGCGCCUCCUACUUCUGGAGGAGUCCAAAGUCUCUCUUCAAUUUCAGCCUUUGGUUCCUCGACACGUGGCUCUCUAUGGCGCUUCUGUCCUCUCUCAGCCUCAUAGGCGACUCUAUCCGGUGUGACUCUGCUGCCGCAUCUACUUUCAUGGCACUGAGGGUGCUGGCAGGAGAGGUGGCUCAGGGCCUCAAAAUUAUCCAGUGCCCAGGCCCAAGCCUGUUCUCGGUUCAUCUUUGGCGGCAUGUGGGGCUUUGGGUAGCACCUCCUUCCAGUCAGCUCCUCCGAGGCUGGUGGAGACCAAGCCAUAGCUUCAGUUGUGCAGCCUGGCUAAGCAGCAGAGCAGGGAAGAGGCACUGGAUGCUCUCCAGUGGUGGAACUGCCUUUAUAUAGUUUUCCCCUGGAGGUGCCUGCAGAUAUCCUAACCCACCCUGUGGGGAUUAGCCUAACCCACCCUGU
Molecule: non-coding RNA, 2216 nt
Organism: Myodes glareolus (Bank vole)
Lineage: Eukaryota; Metazoa; Chordata; Mammalia; Rodentia; Cricetidae
Source: RefSeq, a predicted model, not a curated record